RNAcentral lists this ribosomal RNA (254 nucleotides) under uncultured bacterium. RNAcentral describes it as "partial 16S ribosomal RNA". It matches the Rfam family "Bacterial small subunit ribosomal RNA", at positions 524 to 776 of the family's 1533-position model. The record is from RNAcentral.
UACGUAGGGCGCGAGCGUUGUCCGGAAUUAUUGGGCGUAAAGAGCUCGUAGGCGGCUUGUCGCGUCGACUGUGAAAACCCGUGGCUCAACCAUGCGGUCUGCAGUCGAUACGGGCAGGCUAGAAUUCGGUAGGGGAGACUGGAAUUCCUGGUGUAGCGGUGAAAUGCGCAGAUAUCGGGAGGAACACCAAUUGCGAAGGCAGCUCGCUGGGACGUCACUGACGCUGAGACGCGAAAGCGUGGGGAGCAAACAGG